Molecule: ribosomal RNA, 451 nt
Filed under: uncultured Smithella sp.
Lineage: Bacteria; Pseudomonadati; Thermodesulfobacteriota; Syntrophia; Syntrophales; Smithellaceae
Description: bacterial SSU rRNA
Rfam family: Bacterial small subunit ribosomal RNA
Source: RNAcentral
CAGUGGAGUAUGUGGUUUAAUUCGUACGCAACGCGAAGAACCUUACCAGGAUUUGACAUCCACUGACGACGUUAGAGAUAGCGUUUCCCUUCGGGGCAGAGAGACAGGUGGUGCAUGGUUGUCGUCAGCUCGUGUCGUGAGAUGUUGGGUUAAGUCCCGCAACGAGCGCAACCCUUGUCUCUAGUUACCAUCAUUUGGUUGGGGACUCUAGAGAUACUGCCAAGGUUAACUUGGAGGAAGGUGGAGAUGACGUCAAGUCCUCAUGGCCUUUAUGCUUAGGGCUACACACGUGCUACAAUGGGUGGUACAAAGAGAAGCCAACUCGCGAGAGCGCGCCAAUCUCAAAAAGCCAUCCUCAGUUCGGAUUGGAGUCUGCAACUCGACUCCAUGAAGUUGGAAUCGCUAGUAAUCGCGGAUCAGCAUGCCGCGGUCGAAUACGUUCCCGGGCCUU